Molecule: unclassified non-coding RNA, 237 nt
Filed under: rhizosphere metagenome
Description: partial ribosomal RNA internal transcribed spacer region
Source: RNAcentral
GAAUUUAUAAUCCGGCGAGAUGAAGGACGGAGGACUGUCGCUGGCCUUUCAUCGAGGCAUGUGCACGCUCUCCUCUGGACUUUCGCCGUAUGGGCGCGGGGCGACCCGCGUCUUCAUAUACCUCUUCGUGUAGAAAGUCUUUGAAUGUUUUUACAAUCAUCGAGUCGCGACUUCUAGGAGACGCGAUUCUUUGAGACAAAAGUUAUCACAACUUUCAGCAAUGGAUCUCUUGGCUCU